Brucella melitensis is the source of this 167-nucleotide small RNA. It matches the Rfam family "Brucella sRNA CI27". Lineage: Bacteria; Pseudomonadati; Pseudomonadota; Alphaproteobacteria; Hyphomicrobiales; Brucellaceae. The record is from Rfam.
GACGGAUUUAAAGCAUGUCUCCUCAAAGCGGGAACCGGUUUUGGGAUAAAGACAUGCACGAAAACAAAAGUUUAAAGCGUGUCGUGUGUGUAUGAUAACAAGCGACAUGCUUUAGGUUUAUUUUGCAGCGCCGGAUGUUUCCAUUUGGCUGCACAGUGUUUUUAGGG